This 263-nucleotide ribosomal RNA is filed under the name uncultured bacterium. RNAcentral describes it as "partial 16S ribosomal RNA". It matches the Rfam family "Bacterial small subunit ribosomal RNA", at positions 524 to 786 of the family's 1533-position model. The record is from RNAcentral.
UACGUAGGGGGCGAGCGUUGUCCGGAAUUAUUGGGCGUAAAGGGUGCGUAGGCGGCAUUUUAAGUCAUUUGUGAAAUUCUACGGCUUAACCGUAGACUUGCAGGUGAAACUGGGAUGCUUGAGUGCAGGAGAGGAGAACGGAAUUCCUGGUGUAGCGGUGAAAUGCGUAGAUAUCAGGAGGAACACCAGUGGCGAAGGCGGUUCUCUGGACUGUAACUGACGCUGAGGCACGAAAGCUGGGGUAGCGAACAGGAUUAGAUACC